This 464-nucleotide ribosomal RNA is filed under the name uncultured Bacteroidota bacterium. Its description in RNAcentral is "bacterial SSU rRNA". It matches the Rfam family "Bacterial small subunit ribosomal RNA", at positions 39 to 496 of the family's 1533-position model. Lineage: Bacteria; Pseudomonadati; Bacteroidota. The record is from RNAcentral.
GCGGCAGGCCUAACACAUGCAAGUCGAACGGUAACAUAGAUUGCUUGCAAUCUGAUGACGAGUGGCGCACGGGUGCGUAACGCGUAUGCAAUCUACCUUUUACAGGAGAAUAGCCCAGAGAAAUUUGGAAUAAUGCUCCAUAAUAUCAUUUAUCAGCAUUGGUUUAUGAUUAAAGCUCCGGCGGUAAAAGAUGAGCAUGCGUUCUAUUAGCUAGUAGGUGAGGUAACGGCUCACCUAGGCUACGAUAGAUAGGGGCCCUGAGAGGGGGAUCCCCCACACUGGUACUGAGACACGGACCAGACUCCUACGGGAGGCAGCAGUGAGGAAUAUUGGACAAUGGAGGAAACUCUGAUCCAGCCAUGCCGCGUGCAGGAUGACUGCCCUAUGGGUUGUAAACUGCUUUUAUAUAGGAAGAAACACUCCCACGUGUGGGGGCUUGACGGUACUAUAUGAAUAAGGAUCGG